UCUGAUGUUAGCGGCGGACGGGUGAGUAACACGUGGAUAACCUACCUAUAAGACUGGGAUAACUUCGGGAAACCGGAGCUAAUACCGGAUAAUAUUUUGAACCGCAUGGUUCAAAAGUGAAAGACGGUCUUGCUGUCACUUAUAGAUGGAUCCGCGCUGCAUUAGCUAGUUGGUAAGGUAACGGCUUACCAAGGCAACGAUGCAUAGCCGACCUGAGAGGGUGAUCGGCCACACUGGAACUGAGACACGGUCCAGACUCCUACGGGAGGCAGCAGUAGGGAAUCUUCCGCAAUGGGCGAAAGCCUGACGGAGCAACGCCGCGUGAGUGAUGAAGGUCUUCGGAUCGUAGAACUCUGUUAUUAGGGAAGAACAUAUGUGUAAGUAACUGUGCACAUCUUGACGGUACCUAAUCAGAAAGCCACGGCUAACUACGUGCCAGCAGCCGCGGUAAUACGUAGGUGGCAAGCGUUAUCCGGAAUUAUUGGGCGUAAAGCGCGCGUAGGCGGUUUUUUAAGUCUGAUGUGAAAGCCCACGGCUCAACCGUGGAGGGUCAUUGGAAACUGGAAAACUUGAGUGCAGAAGAGGAAAGUGGAAUUCCAUGUGUAGCGGUGAAAUGCGCAGAGAUAUGGAGGAACACCAGUGGCGAAGGCGACUUUCUGGUCUGUAACUGACGCUGAUGUGUGAAAAGCGUGGGGAUCAAACAGGAUUAGAUACCCUGGUAGUCCACGCCGUAAACGAUGAGUGCUAAGUGUUAGGGGGUUUCCGCCCCUUAGUGCUGUCAGCUAACCGCAUUAAGCACGUCCGCCUG
RNAcentral lists this ribosomal RNA (808 nucleotides) under uncultured Staphylococcus sp. RNAcentral's name for it is "bacterial SSU rRNA". It matches the Rfam family "Bacterial small subunit ribosomal RNA", at positions 85 to 875 of the family's 1533-position model. Lineage: Bacteria; Bacillati; Bacillota; Bacilli; Caryophanales; Staphylococcaceae. The record is from RNAcentral.